UAAUCUUCUUAUCUAAAAGUACUAUUUGGUAUUAGAGGUUGUAGAUUUUUCUUUUCUAAUUAUAUUUUUGUGCUUAAUUUUGUUAUCUAUUCCAAAUCCACAUCAACCUAGAUUAUUAAAAAAUAAACUUUCAGAUUUUUUUCUUAGAAAAAGUGAAAAACAUUUUACAAACUUUCAUAGAAAAAGAUUUAUAAAUAUUGAAUGAGUUGAAUUUAAUUUUAGAAGCAUUCAUGGCUACAUUUGAACAAAGCAACCAAAAGAGAAUAGCAAAAAACAAAUCUUAGUUUCUAUGAUAAGUAUCAUAUUGAAUUUCUAUCUAUAUUGAAAAAUUCCAAACAACUUAUUUGUGACUUGAAUUAAAACAAUAAGGUUCUUAUUAAUUAAUUUUGAUAUGAA
This 396-nucleotide long non-coding RNA is filed under the name Physcomitrium patens. RNAcentral's name for it is "long non-coding RNA (PPAT_LNC006753)". The record is from RNAcentral. Lineage: Eukaryota; Viridiplantae; Streptophyta; Bryopsida; Funariales; Funariaceae.